RNAcentral lists this ribosomal RNA (254 nucleotides) under uncultured bacterium. RNAcentral describes it as "partial 16S ribosomal RNA". It matches the Rfam family "Bacterial small subunit ribosomal RNA", at positions 524 to 776 of the family's 1533-position model. The record is from RNAcentral.
CACGUAGGGGGCGAGCGUUGUCCGGAUUUAUUGGGCGUAAAGAGCUCGUAGGCGGCUCAGUAAGUCAGGUGUGAAAACUCCAGGCUCAACCUGGAGACGCCACUUGAUACUGCUGUGGCUAGAGUCCGGUAGGGGAGCAUGGAAUUCCCGGUGUAGUGGUGAAAUGCGUAGAUAUCGGGAGGAACACCAAUUGCGAAGGCAGCUCGCUGGGACGUUACUGACGCUGAGACGCGAAAGCGUGGGGAGCAAACAGG